AGCGAACGCUGGCGGCAGGCUUAACACAUGCAAGUCGAGCGGGCAUCCUUGUGGUGUCAGCGGCAGACGGGUGAGUAACGCGUGGGAACGUGCCCUUCGGUUCGGAAUAACUCAGGGAAACUUGAGCUAAUACCGGAUACGUGCGAGAGCAGAAAGGUUUAUCUGCCGAAGGAUCGGCCCGCGUCUGAUUAGCUAGUUGGUGAGGUUAUGGCUCACCAAGGCGACGAUCAGUAGCUGGUCUGAGAGGAUGAUCAGCCACACUGGGACUGAGACACGGCCCAGACUCCUACGGGAGGCAGCAGUUGGGAAUAUUGGACAAUGGGGGCAACCCUGAUCCAGCCAUGCCGCGUGAGUGAUGACGGCCUUAGGGUUGUAAAGCUCUUUUCUUCGGGACGAUAAUGACGGUACCGGAGGAAUAAGCCCCGGCUAACUUCGUG
This 437-nucleotide ribosomal RNA is filed under the name uncultured bacterium. RNAcentral's name for it is "partial 16S ribosomal RNA". It matches the Rfam family "Bacterial small subunit ribosomal RNA", at positions 29 to 507 of the family's 1533-position model. The record is from RNAcentral.